This 515-nucleotide ribosomal RNA is filed under the name uncultured fungus. RNAcentral's name for it is "eukaryotic LSU rRNA". The stretch from base 153 to 304 matches the Rfam family "5.8S ribosomal RNA". Lineage: Eukaryota; Fungi. The record is from RNAcentral.
UCCGUAGGUGAACCUGCGGAAGGAUCAUUAACACUAAUCCAAUUCACCUUAACCUAGCCUUCAGUGUAGUAUCAGUGCUAGCUUCGGCAGGCCUCUUACUACUCUAUAAAACUAAACUAAAGAAGCUUAACUAAGCUCAAACACUAAAACCAAAUUCUCAACGAUGGAUAUCUUGGUUCCCAUAACGAUGAAGAACGCAGCGAAGUGCGAUAAGCAAUGCGAAUUGCAGAACCGUGAGUCAUCAGAUCUUUGAACGCAACUGGCGCCGGUUGGCUCUCCAAUCGGCAUGCUUGUUUCAGUGUCUCUUUAUCUCAUCACCCAUAUCAUAAUGCGAGAGAUACCCUUCUCUUGCUAAGCUCGAAAGCACUCUGCGCUCUGCGAGCGGCUUCGACUUGUUCGAGGGCCGCACUCAAUGCAGCAGUCACAUUGCUCACAAUGUGAACUCAUUGAGAGCUGAGGCAGUGUAGCGUAAGCUACCAGUGCUUAGUCACGCAAACUUUACUUGCAUCUGGAAA